Molecule: ribosomal RNA, 481 nt
Filed under: uncultured bacterium
Lineage: Bacteria
Description: partial 16S ribosomal RNA
Rfam family: Bacterial small subunit ribosomal RNA
Source: RNAcentral
GAUGAACGCUGGCGGCGUGCUUAACACAUGCAAGUCGAACGAAGCACUUUAUUUGAUUUCCUUCGGGACUGAUUAUUUUGUGACUGAGUGGCGGACGGGUGAGUAACGCGUGGGUAACCUGCCUUGUACAGGGGGAUAACAGUUGGAAACGGCUGCUAAUACCGCAUAAGCGCACGGCAUCGCAUGAUGCAGUGUGAAAAACUCCGGUGGUAUAAGAUGGACCCGCGUUGGAUUAGCUAGUUGGUGAGGUAACGGCCCACCAAGGCGACGAUCCAUAGCCGACCUGAGAGGGUGACCGGCCACAUUGGGACUGAGACACGGCCCAAACUCCUACGGGAGGCAGCAGUGGGGAAUAUUGCACAAUGGGCGAAAGCCUGAUGCAGCGACGCCGCGUGAGCGAAGAAGUAUUUCGGUAUGUAAAGCUCUAUCAGCAGGGAAGAUAAUGACGGUACCUGACUAAGAAGCACCGGAUAAAUACGUG